RNAcentral lists this non-coding RNA (76 nucleotides) under Streptomyces sp. The record is from RNAcentral. Lineage: Bacteria; Bacillati; Actinomycetota; Actinomycetes; Kitasatosporales; Streptomycetaceae.
AGGGGGAAGCCGGUGCAAAUCCGGCACUGACCACGCAGCCGUGAACCGUCGUGGGAGACGGUGAGUCGGAAUGCCC